RNAcentral lists this ribosomal RNA (254 nucleotides) under uncultured bacterium. RNAcentral's name for it is "partial 16S ribosomal RNA". It matches the Rfam family "Bacterial small subunit ribosomal RNA", at positions 524 to 776 of the family's 1533-position model. The record is from RNAcentral.
UACGUAGGGGCCUAGCGUUGUCCGGAAUUAUUGGGCGUAAAGAGCUCGUAGGUGGUUCGGCAAGUCGGAUGUGAAAUCUCCACGCUUAACGUGGAGGGGCCAUUCGAAACUGCUGUGACUUGAGUCCGGUAGGGGAGUGUGGAAUUCCCGGUGUAGCGGUGAAAUGCGCAGAUAUCGGGAGGAACACCAGUAGCGAAGGCGGCCUGCUGGGCAGUGGCUGACACUGAGGCGCGACAGCGUGGGGAGCAAACAGG